UGGCGGCAUGCCUUACACAUGCAAGUCGAACGGCAGCACGGGUGCUUGCACCUGGUGGCGAGUGGCGAACGGGUGAGUAAUACAUCGGAACAUGUCCUGUAGUGGGGGAUAGCCCGGCGAAAGCCGGAUUAAUACCGCAUACGAUCUAUGGAUGAAAGCGGGGGACCUUCGGGCCUCGCGCUAUAGGGUUGGCCGAUGGCUGAUUAGCUAGUUGGUGGGGUAAAGGCCUACCAAGGCGACGAUCAGUAGCUGGUCUGAGAGGACAACCAGCCACACUGGGACUGAGACACGGCCCAAACUCCUACGGGAGGCAGCAGUGGGGAAUUUUGGACAAUGGGCGAAAGCCUGAUCCAGCAAUGCCGCGUGUGUGAACAAGGCCUUCGGGUUGUAAAGCACUUUUGUCCGGAAAGAAAUCCUUGGCUCUAAUACAGUCGGGGGAUGACGGUACCGGAAGAAUAAGCACCGGCUAACUACGUGCCAGCAGCCGCGGUAAUACGUAGGGUGCAAGCGUUAAUCGGAAUUACUGGGCGUAAAGCGUGCGCAGGCGGUUUGCUAAGACCGAUGUGAAAUCCCCGGGCUCAACCUGGGAACUGCAUUGGUGACUGGCAGGCUAGAGUAUGGCAGAGGGGGGUAGAAUUCCACGUGUAGCAGUGAAAUGCGUAGAGAUGUGGAGGAAUACCGAUGGCGAAGGCAGCCCCCUGGGCCAAUACUGACGCUCAUGCACGAAAGCGUGGGGAGCAAACAGGAUUAGAUACCCUGGUAGUCCACGCCCUAAACGAUGUCAACUAGUUGUUGGGGAUUCAUUUCCUUAGUAACGUAGCUAACGCGUGAAGUUGACCGCCUGGGGAGUACGGUCGCAAGAUUAAAACUCAAAGGAAUUGACGGGGACCCGCACAAGCGGUGGAUGAUGUGGAUUAAUUCGAUGCAACGCGAAAAACCUUACCUACCCUUGACAUGGUCGGAAUCCUGAAGAGAUUCGGGAGUGCUCGAAAGAGAACCGGCGCACAGGUGCUGCAUGGCUGUCGUCAGCUCGUGUCGUGAGAUGUUGGGUUAAGUCCCGCAACGAGCGCAACCCUUGUCCUUAGUUGCUACGCAAGAGCACUCUAAGGAGACUGCCGGUGACAAACCGGAGGAAGGUGGGGAUGACGUCAAGUCCUCAUGGCCCUUAUGGGUAGGGCUUCACACGUCAUACAAUGGUCGGAACAGAGGGUUGCCAACCCGCGAGGGGGAGCUAAUCCCAGAAAACCGAUCGUAGUCCGGAUUGCACUCUGCAACUCGAGUGCAUGAAGCUGGAAUCGCUAGUAAUCGCGGAUCAGCAUGCCGCGGUGAAUACGUUCCCGGGUCUUGUACACACCGCCCGUCACACCAUAGGAGUGGGUUUUACCAGAAGUGGCUAGUCUAACCGCAAGGAGGACGGUCACCACGGUAGGA
Molecule: ribosomal RNA, 1431 nt
Filed under: Burkholderia cepacia
Lineage: Bacteria; Pseudomonadati; Pseudomonadota; Betaproteobacteria; Burkholderiales; Burkholderiaceae
Description: bacterial SSU rRNA
Rfam family: Bacterial small subunit ribosomal RNA
Source: RNAcentral